This 75-nucleotide transfer RNA is filed under the name Crowea exalata subsp. exalata. RNAcentral's name for it is "tRNA-His". The record is from RNAcentral. Lineage: Eukaryota; Viridiplantae; Streptophyta; Magnoliopsida; Sapindales; Rutaceae.
GAUUGUGAAUCCACCACGCGCGGGUUCAAUUCCCGUCGUUCGCCGGCGGAUGUGGCCAAGUGGAUCAAGGCAGUG